CACGAAGUUAGCCGGGGCUUCUUCUACGGUUACCGUCAUUAUCUUCACCGUUGAAAGAACUUUACAACCCUAGGGCCUUCAUCACUCACGCGGAAUGGCUGGAUCAGGCUUGCGCCCAUUGUCCAAUAUUCCCCACUGCUGCCUCCCGUAGGAGUCUGGGCCGUGUCUCAGUCCCAGUGUGGCUGAUCAUCCUCUCAGACCAGCUAUGGAUCGUCGCCUUGGUGAGCCUUUACCUCACCAACUAGCUAAUCCAACGCGGGCUCAUCCUUUGCCGAUAAAUCUUUCCCCCGAAGGGCACAUACGGUAUUAGCACAAGUUUCCCUGAGUUAUUCCGUAGCAAAAGGUAGAUUCCCACGCGUUACUCACCCGUCUGCCGCUCCCCUUGCGGGCGCUCGACUUGCAUGUGUUAAGCCUGCCGCCAGCGUUCGUUCUGAGCCAGGAUCAAACUCU
RNAcentral lists this ribosomal RNA (450 nucleotides) under uncultured Hyphomicrobiales bacterium. RNAcentral's name for it is "uncultured Rhizobiales bacterium partial 16S ribosomal RNA". Lineage: Bacteria; Pseudomonadati; Pseudomonadota; Alphaproteobacteria; Hyphomicrobiales. The record is from RNAcentral.